GACGAACGCUGGCGGCGUGCUUAACACAUGCAAGUCGAACGGUGAAGCGCCUUCCUUUUUGGUGGGUGUGGAUGAGUGGCGAACGGGUGAGUAACACGUGAGUAACCUGCCCCCUUCUUCUGGAUAACCGCAUGAAAGUGUGGCUAAUACGGGAUAUUCUGGGUCUGUCGCAUGAUGGGUCUGGGAAAGAUAUUGUUUCGGUGGGGGAUGGGCUCGCGGCCUAUCAGCUUGUUGGUGGGGUGAUGGCCUACCAAGGCGGUGACGGGUAGCCGGCCUGAGGGGGUGGACGGUCACACUGGGACUGAGACACGGCCCAGACUCCUACGGGAGGCAGCAGUGGGGAAUAUUGCACAAUGGGCGCAAGCCUGAUGCAGCGACGCCGCGUGAGGGAUGGAGGCCUUCGGGUUGUGAACCUCUUUCGCCAGUGAAGCAGGCCUGCCUCGUUUGUGGGUGGGUUGACGGUAGCUGGAUAAGAAGCGCCGGCUAACUACGUG
Molecule: ribosomal RNA, 494 nt
Filed under: uncultured bacterium
Lineage: Bacteria
Description: partial 16S ribosomal RNA
Rfam family: Bacterial small subunit ribosomal RNA
Source: RNAcentral